AUUGAACGCUGGCGGUAUGCCUAACACAUGCAAGUCGAACGGUAACAGAAGAAGCCUAGCUUUUUGCUGACGAGUGGCGGACGGGUGAGUAACGCGUGGGAAUCUACCUUAUAGUUGGGGAUAGCCCGGAGAAAUCCGGAUUAAUACCGAAUAAGAUCUACGGAUGAAAAGGUGCCUCUGCUUGCAAGCACUUGCUAUGAGAUGAGCCCGCGUUAGAUUAGUUUGUUGGUGGGGUAACGGCCUACCAAGACUGCGAUCUAUAGCUGGUUUGAGAGGAUGAUCAGCCACAUUGGGACUGAGACACGGCCCAGACUCCUACGGGAGGCAGCAGUGGGGAAUAUUGGACAAUGGGCGCAAGCCUGAUCCAGCAAUACCGCGUGUGUGAAGAAGGCCUUAGGGUUGUAAAGCACUUUUAUAUGGGAAGAAGGUGUUUGUGUUAAUAGCACAAGCAAUUGACGGUACCAUAAGAAUAAGCACCGGCUAACUCCG
Molecule: ribosomal RNA, 489 nt
Filed under: uncultured Marinicella sp.
Lineage: Bacteria; Pseudomonadati; Pseudomonadota; Gammaproteobacteria; Lysobacterales; Marinicellaceae
Description: bacterial SSU rRNA
Rfam family: Bacterial small subunit ribosomal RNA
Source: RNAcentral